This 62-nucleotide ribosomal RNA is filed under the name uncultured organism. RNAcentral's name for it is "partial 16S ribosomal RNA". The record is from RNAcentral.
UGGGCUUGACAUGUCCGGAGUUCUGCAGAGAUGCGGGAGUGCCCUUCGGGGAAUCGGAACAC